RNAcentral lists this ribosomal RNA (439 nucleotides) under uncultured bacterium. RNAcentral describes it as "bacterial SSU rRNA". It matches the Rfam family "Bacterial small subunit ribosomal RNA", at positions 956 to 1392 of the family's 1533-position model. The record is from RNAcentral.
GCAACGCGAAGAACCUUACCAGCUUUUGACAUGUCCGGUUUGAUCGGCAGAGAUGCCUUUCUUCAGUUCGGCUGGCCGGAACACAGGUGCUGCAUGGCUGUCGUCAGCUCGUGUCGUGAGAUGUUGGGUUAAGUCCCGCAACGAGCGCAACCCUCGCCCCUAGUUGCCAUCAUUCAGUUGGGAACUCUAGGGGGACUGCCGGUGAUAAGCCGCGAGGAAGGUGGGGAUGACGUCAAGUCCUCAUGGCCCUUACAGGCUGGGCUACACACGUGCUACAAUGGCGGUGACAAUGGGCAGCGAAGGGGUGACCUGGAGCUAAUCCCAAAAAGCCGUCUCAGUUCAGAUUGUACUCUGCAACUCGAGUACAUGAAGGUGGAAUCGCUAGUAAUCGUGGAUCAGCAUGCCACGGUGAAUACGUUCCCGGGCCUUGUACACACCG